AAGCCGGGAAUAAACCUCCCUCUCAGCAUAUAGAAAAUUCACAAGCUAAAACAAAAGAUACUUGAACGCAUUUCCUUGCUAUUACUUGCAUCUAAUAUUACAGAAAUAGCAUCAUUUCAUUAGGAACAGGAUUACUUGCUUAGUUUCUCCCUUUGUCUUUCCAGAGAACAGUCACAGAGCACAGAACAAAGCCUCUCCCCCGCCCCCCCCCCCCAAAUUUGAAAGUAUCUUCUUUCCCUAUUGGUCCCUCUGGUCAGGUGCCAACCAAGUUAUCUGAGCUUCUUAACCCUUUACAGGUAAAGAAGAGAUUUUAUGCUACCCUUCUUAGCUGUGUGUUUAUGACGGGGGGGUGUGUGUGGGAAAAGGGUCGGAAUGCAGGUCUGGGAGGGGGUGGGGGAGUGUGGUGCUUACCUGAGGCUCCUAGGCAGGGCAGGCCAGAGGUCUCCACGUGCAGCAACCCCCAGGCAUUGCCCCUGCAGCUUCCCAUUGGUCGCUUGGGGCGGGACACAGACCCACCCACCCAAGGGCUGCGAGAAGGGGCUGGCAGGGGGAUGUGGGGGGGGGGCACCCGGGGGCAGAAGGCGGGGCUGAGGGAGAGACCCUGCUUCAUACAGUACCGGAGCUGCCAUAGAGUACCAUAGAACUCGCCGCCCAUGGCAGCAUCACACACAGAUUCCCCCUGUCCCGUCACCCCAGCUUAAUGGAACUUGGGUACAUGGGAGCGGGACACCCCAACAUCAGCCUCCCCCCAGCCCACACAACAGAGAGGAGGACGCUUCCAGUCCGAGUGGCCGGGGGCUCCGGGGAGGAAGGAGGCGGGGGACAGGAGCAGUGGUGGCUGCACAGGGCAGUGGAGCAGUGGGGGGGAGGGGCACCCCUGCUCCUGAGAAGUCACCUGGCUCGACUGGUCGUCCAACUGCCCCUUGCAGCUCAGGUCCCUUCUCCCCACCCACCCACAAGUCCAGCCCUGGUCUCGUUCUCCUCCCUUCCCCUCCAGCAGCCUCACUCCCAGCACUCGGAGAUGAGGCUCUAUACCUCGAACUCCUGGGUGCUGGGGAUGGGGCGACAGACCGUGGGGUCGCUGCAGGGCAGGUGCCGCAGCUGGAGCCCGGCCACAGGACCAGCGCGAGGAGAAGAGGGCCGGCAGCAGCGGGAGAAGCGUGUGCCGUGACCCCUCAACAGCCGCCUGCUGAGCAAUCGCGAGUGGGGAUAGUUCGUCCCCUGCCCUGACCCGGCUGGCCACUGGGAGCUGUGCCUGCGGGCAGGAGGUGGGGGCAGUGUGCAGAACCCCCUGGCCGUCCCUAGGCCUAGGAGCCGGACAUGCUAGCUGCUUCCCCGGAGCCGCAUGGCGCGGAGGCUGGCUGGGAGCCUGCAAGCCCCGUCACCAGUCUACGGCCGGUUAGUGGUGUUGACUGGAGACUCCAGGAUCCCUUUUUGACAGACUGUUCUGGUCCAAAAUCAGACACCUGGUCACUCUAAUCGGCAAUCCAGCCCCCUGCCAAGGACAGGUGGAGAAUCCGGGGCUCUCUGCAGUGGCCCAGGCUCCCUGUGCAGGUGUUAUCACGGCCCUGCUUCUGGUCUGGCCAGGGGGCAGGACCUCAGAGGAAAGAGGCGGAGCAGGGGGUGUGGCAUUGGGGAGAGAAGGGAUGGGGUUCCUGCAAGUGUCCAACUUUUGCUUUUAGAAAAGGUGGUCACUGAGAGAUAGGGGCCGGCAGGAGAUUUACCCCAAAGAGCUGAGAAUUUACCAGGCAAAUGUCCACCCAGAAUCCCCCCCCCCACACACACACACACCCUGCUUCCAAUUUCAUAUUUGUGUUUAAAGACAAUCUCUUUAUUUGGGGGUCUGGCUCCUGGGCUGACAGCACUGAACAGGGGCUGGUCUGAUUUCUGCGCAGGAUUCCGUGUCCAACCAGAGUCACUGUGAGCCGCAAGGAGUGGAAUUGGGGUUUGGGUCGGGUUCAGUGGCAGUCGGUAUGUUCAAUUCUGGUUAGGGUUGGGAGUGAGCCCUGUGGCUUGCUUCAGUGGGGAACUGAAUUUGGGCAUGGGGCCUGCCUCAGGUGGAGGGAGGAGCUGCCCCAAUGGGUGGGGGCGGGUGAGAAGAGACUUGUCUUAAGUGGAAGAAGAAUUGAGCAGCCUUUUUCCUUGGCCUUGAAGAGUUAAUGUUAACUUCUGGGACAGGGAGCCCCCACUUCUCUCCCCCGUCUCUCCCUGCUCCUGUGGACUGCCCCCUUCUCUUCUCCUACUGGGACAGGCCGUUCCGGUAGCGAUCACAUGCCUGGGGGUUGUUUUGGUGUCUUCUUUUAUAAUGAGGGAGAUCAGAGUAGGUUUUAUUUUAUUUUGACAAAUAUUGAGCUGGAAAAUUGCUGAAACUUCAUUUCAACUGGCAGCCAUUUUUUCCCAAGUUCAAUUCAGAUUCAGGUUCGCUGAGGAAGAGGAAAAAUGAUGUUUUAAGUCUGGUUCCAGUUCAGUUAAGCAGAUCGGUUCGACCUGGUUCUGUUCUGGUGUGAGUCCAGGCUGAGGGAUCAUGUCCACCUGUCGCUCCAGAUCCUCCCGUCUUCCAGGGGACAGUGAAGGGAAAUGGCUGUGAUGGAGCCAGCUCAGAUGCCGGUGACCUUCGAGGAGGUGGCUGUAUAUUUCACCCAGGGAC
Long non-coding RNA from Mauremys mutica (yellowpond turtle), 2647 nucleotides. RefSeq lists it as uncharacterized. The transcript has 3 exons. Lineage: Eukaryota; Metazoa; Chordata; Testudines; Geoemydidae. The record is from RefSeq and is a predicted model, not a curated record.